Molecule: non-coding RNA, 135 nt
Organism: Triticum aestivum (bread wheat)
Lineage: Eukaryota; Viridiplantae; Streptophyta; Magnoliopsida; Poales; Poaceae
Source: Rfam
GUAGUAUUCCCUCCGUCCCAAAAUUCUUGUCUUACAUUUGUUUAGAUACGGAUGUAUCUAACACUAAAAUGUAACUAGCUACAUCUGUAUUUAGACAAAUUUAAGACAAGAAUUUUGGGACGGAGGGAGUACAAA